RNAcentral lists this long non-coding RNA (508 nucleotides) under Pan troglodytes (chimpanzee). RNAcentral's name for it is "long non-coding RNA NONPTRT013379". Lineage: Eukaryota; Metazoa; Chordata; Mammalia; Primates; Hominidae. The record is from RNAcentral.
UCUGCAGCUCCAGGGUCUCCACCAGGUCCGUGUUCCAGACCAUUCCUGGGGACACAAAAAGUUCCAUCAGGGGCAGGUGGGACCCAGUCACAUGGGCCCUCCGAGCUGUCAGCCUGGGCCUGCUAGUCCAUGGAGUCACUGGUUGUGGCUUUAUAGCUGUGGGCCAGGACCCAUCCAGACAGCAAGCACGGAACUAAGUCAGCACUGACGGGACAGACACCAGCCCACCCUGCAGAAGGCAGGGCCCAACAGUGUGCACAGAGCCCACUGUCUGCUCACCCCGGUCGAACGUCUUCAGGUGCUUUAGGUCUCCGUAGAGCUUGCUGAUUUUCCCACAACCUUCUUGCAACACGCUUCCCACACGGAACACGGCAGCAUGAUUUUGCAUUUACUUCUGCAUGCUGAGUCGCAGUUCUGAUGUUCUUAUGCUUCCAUCAGCAAAUCUCAAUUUGUCAAGAUUCAUGACAGAUUCUUCCCCAGCGUUUGGUUUAAUUGGAGGGACUUUGUC